GACGAACGCUGGCGGCGUGCUUAACACAUGCAAGUCGAGCGGUAAGGCCUUUCGGGGUACACGAGCGGCGAACGGGUGCGUAACACGUGGGUGAUCUGCCCUGCACUUCGGGAUAAGCCUGGGAAACUGGGUCUAAUACCGGAUAUGACCUCCUAUCGCAUGGUGGGUGGUGGAAAGAUUUAUCGGUGCAGGAUGGGCCCGCGGCCUAUCAGCUUGUUGGUGGGGUAAUGGCCUACCAAGGCGACGACGGGUAGCCGACCUGAGAGGGUGACCGGCCACACUGGGACUGAGACACGGCCCAGACUCCUACGGGAGGCAGCAGUGGGGAAUAUUGCACAAUGGGCGAAAGCCUGAUGCAGCGACGCCGCGUGAGGGAUGACGGCCUUCGGGUUGUAAACCUCUUUCAGCAGGGACGAAGCGCAAGUGACGGUACCUGCAGAAGAAGCACCGGCUAACUACGUG
RNAcentral lists this ribosomal RNA (462 nucleotides) under uncultured bacterium. RNAcentral's name for it is "partial 16S ribosomal RNA". It matches the Rfam family "Bacterial small subunit ribosomal RNA", at positions 28 to 507 of the family's 1533-position model. The record is from RNAcentral.